This is a long non-coding RNA of Acanthochromis polyacanthus (spiny chromis), 657 nucleotides long. RefSeq lists it as uncharacterized. Lineage: Eukaryota; Metazoa; Chordata; Actinopteri; Pomacentridae. The transcript has 2 exons. The record is from RefSeq and is a predicted model, not a curated record.
UUUAUGCUGAAAAAAGCUGAUAUCUGUGUUCAUUAUUAUAUGAAUUCAAUGGUUUUAAUUAUUCUUAUAUAAGCAGUAAAAGAAGUACAUCUCUGACGUUUAUAACAAACCAAGCUGUUGUGAAAUCGGUUGAAAAUUGAGCAAUCUACAGUGAUUUUAAAAUCCAUGCUCCAUUGACUUUAAUGUUAUGAGUGAUCGAGCAGCCCUGUCCCAAGAUGGCCGCCAUGUGGCGACGUUGCUCCCCAUAGACUGACAGCGCUCAUGAGCCAUCUCGUGUUUUUAUAUAUCUAUGGAUCCAAGCACCGCUUCUACAGUGACAUCCACCGUUCAUUUGCACUGCAGGUUGUUGAGUAUAUGUGGAGUAUCCCGAGAGUCCUCACUGAAGACACGAAGACCCUCUUCAAAGAGUACUAAUUAAUAAUAAUUAGUUAUAAUAACAUUAUAAUACGCUACCCGGUGUGCAAAGUGUUGAAUCUGUUCUCUCCCUAUUUUACUUCAUCUACUUUUAGUGUCCAGGACACACAUGAAGAGGAUGUCUCCCCACACACAAGUCAUUUGAUUAUUUUUUUUAUUAUUUCAAAAAUAAUUGUAAAAAAUAACAUGUUGUUGUUUCUCCCAUUGUCAAUAAAACAUACUAUUUCAUUCAUCAAAGCAUAA